This 492-nucleotide ribosomal RNA is filed under the name uncultured bacterium. RNAcentral's name for it is "partial 16S ribosomal RNA". It matches the Rfam family "Bacterial small subunit ribosomal RNA", at positions 29 to 507 of the family's 1533-position model. The record is from RNAcentral.
AGUGAACGCUGGCGGUAGGCCUAACACAUGCCAGUCGAACGGCAGCACAGUAAGAGCUUGCUCUUACGGGUGGCGAGUGGCGGACGGGUGAGGAAUACAUCGGAAUCUACUUUUUCGUGGGGGAUAACGUAGGGAAACUUACGCUAAUACCGCAUACGACCUACGGGUGAAAGCAGGGGAUCUUCGGACCUUGCGCGAUUGCAUGAGCCGAUGUCGGAUUAGCUAGUUGGCGGGGUAAAGGCCCACCAAGGCGACGAUCCGUAGCUGGUCUGAGAGGAUGAACAGCCACACUGGAACUGAGACACGGUACAGACUCCUAGGGGAGGCAGCAGUGGGGAAUAUUGGAAAAUGGGCGCAAGACUGAUCCAGCCAUACCGCGUGGGUGAAGAAGGCCUUCGGGUUGUAAAGCCCUUUUGUUGGGAAAGAAAAGCAGCAGGUUAAUACCCCGCUGUUCUGACGGUACCCAAAGAAUAAGCACCGGCUAACUUCGUG